AUGGCCGAUGGUUUGGAUGUGCAGAGUAUUGGGUGCCAGAACCUUGCUAGUGAGACCUCGAUCUGGGUCCAGUCCCAAGUCCUCAGCAUCAUCCAACACGACAACUUUUGCUUCAGCUGUUGUCAUAUUCAGGCGCGCCAUGAGAUCCUCGAUGCCCGAACUCCCAGAUGCCAUCGCUUCCCACGGCACUCGCGCAGGCGUGCCCUUGCCAAUCGCCGGCGCAGAUGGAUCCCCUUGGGCACCAUCACCCAGCGCACAAGACCCCUCCUUGGUUACAGCAUCUCCACUCGUUGCGCCCCCAGGAGACGUUUUUUCGCCGUCCUCUCCCAGCCGUCCCCCCAGGCGAUAGCCUUUUUUUCUUUUGCUGUGGACGGCCGCUGGCGAGGAGAGCAGCGGCGGGAGCCCGAGGAUCCACGCGAGCAUGAACUGCACGAGCUCGUGCAGGUCCGCGCGAGCGCCGGAGCGCCCCGUCCGCCGUUGGUGAAGGGGCACCGCCGUAGGCAGUGUCGGAGGCGACGUCCAACUCCCCCUGCUGCAGCUUGCAGGAGGCCGUCCUCCGGCGGUGCUGCGCGCGGCGACGGCGCCGGCCACUCGUGCGCCGCGCCGACCCCGCGUCACCCCGUCUGCGCGCCGGUGUGCAGAGACUGCGGAUUCGCCGGCCACUCGUGCACCGCGCCGACCCUGCGCCUCCCCGUCCGCGCGCCGGUGUGCAGAGGCCACAGAUUUGCCUGCCACUCGUGCGCCGCGCCGACCCCACGGAUUCGCCGGCCACCCCGGAGCACGUCCUGGAGCGUGCGCGCGGCCGUGGAUGCGCGGGUGCGCACCCGGCGAGCCUCUCGAGCGCGCCGACCAGACGACCUCAUCGAGCACGCCGGACGCCGGCCACGCGACCUCGCUGCCCCGCACGCUGGACGCCGGACACCGACCUCGCUGCCCCGCUGCCUCGUCGGCGCGCUCGAGAGAGAGGCAUGGGAGAGGAGAGAGGAAAAGAGAGGAGAGAGGGUGAGGGCACAUGGGUGGGGCCCAGAUGAAAAGAGAGGAGAGAGGGGGUGGGAGGCUGAGGGUGGGCUAACCGCAAGAAAAAGAAAGCGCCGGCACGCCCAGCUGCCCCCAGGGGGCUGGGUUUGGGGUGGGUUUGCCGGCGUCAAUUUUAUUCAAAUCCGACGAAAGUGGGGCUUUGGGGAUGUGAGUGGGACCUUUGACAUGCUCUUAUCAUCGUUAUCAUCGGUCAUCGACGAAGCCCCCGAGAAGGACCACGGUGGCCCACAAAAGCAUGAGGGCCCCGAUGGAUUUCAGGGCAAUUCGGACGUACGCUGCAAGGAGCGCAUACUUGUUGAUGAUCCUUACUUCUGGCCGUCGUUGAAGCUCUUCCAAGAAAGCUUCAAGCUCAUUUCCCGAGCCCUGCUGCUGCCGCUUCCCAUUCCGGUUUCCCGAUGCUGUGCCCCUACGCCAUACACCCCUACGCCAUAUACCGGUGGGCAUUUCCCUCCUGGAAUGGUAAUGGUGGCGGAGCGGCAGAUUUGUGGCUCCUCUUUCAGUUUGCUAGUGAAACAGUCUACUGGUUUCUCCUCUAGAACUCGUCUGGUGGCCAUGCCCCGCUGGGAAGCCUGCACGAUAUUUCACGUUGGGCUGGGAGCAGUUGAACGUUCGUCUAGCCCGAUUGCAUCUUGCAGCCACCGCGUGCAGCUCAGCAACGAUUUCCUGCAAUAUUUGUUUCGGCGCGGGGUGGGGAUGAUUCGUGCGAGCUACGGUGCUGGCUUUAGUUACGUUUGGUGCUCGCAUCUCGCCGGGCGCACACUACUUUCUGGCUGGAGUAGAGAGCUGUUAACAGUCUGGUGUGAUUGCCUUUGCUUUUUUAAUAAAAAGUUGGGGCAGGGGGGCAACCCCAAAAAAAAGGAGGCGACAUGUCUGACAGCAAUUCGACAAAUCAGGCGAGAGGAUCUCGAUCCAAAAAUACCAAGGGACAUUGAUGGCAUGCUCAGGAGACUGAAUCUUAGUGCUCACGACAAAACCAAAUACUACACCUACCAAAAGCGAAAGGCGUCGGUCCAAGAGGCGGCUGCUGUUAAAGGGGCACUUGAGUGUUUUCAGAAAGGUUCUGGGCAGCUCCUAAGCCCCCAAAAGUGCUUGCUUUUCUUUAGUGAGGCAUGCCCGGAUGUUAUUCAGCAAGGAAUCAAAGAAAAACUAGGUGUUGUGGUGUCAACUUUUGAGAGUAAGUACCUAAGACUACCAACUCCAGAAGAAAGAAUGAAGGAGGGAAGAUUCCAGCCAAUUAUGGAGAGAUUUACCAAGAGAUGCUCGGACUGGAAUGAGAGAUACAAGUCACAAGCUGCAAAGGAUGUUCAUGUCAAAGGUGUGGCACAGAGCCUACCUACCUACCCCAUGGGUGUGUUUAAAAUGACUAAGGGGUUUUGUGAGAUGUACGAAAAGCUCAUCCGUGAUUUCUGGUGGGGCGAUGAAGAGGGUCAUCGAAAGGUCCACUGGAUGGCUUGGAAGGACAUGGUCAAACCAAAGAAGGGAGGAGGACUGGGCUUUAGAGAUAUGCACCUCUUCAACCAAUCCUUGCUAGCAAGGCAGGGGUGGAGAAUCAUUCAAAAACCGGAUAGCCUGUGCGCGCAGGUGCUGAAAUCUAAACGGCGAUAUUCUAGACACUGUGUUUGCAUCCGAUGCCUCCCCAUCAUGGAGAGGAAUUGA
This 2694-nucleotide ribosomal RNA is filed under the name Triticum aestivum (bread wheat). RNAcentral describes it as "partial small subunit ribosomal RNA". Lineage: Eukaryota; Viridiplantae; Streptophyta; Magnoliopsida; Poales; Poaceae. The record is from RNAcentral.